This 642-nucleotide long non-coding RNA is filed under the name Canis lupus familiaris (dog). Its description in RNAcentral is "lncRNA (ENSCAFG00040014366.1)". Lineage: Eukaryota; Metazoa; Chordata; Mammalia; Carnivora; Canidae. The record is from RNAcentral.
GGCCGUGGGGGAGGGGCGGCCGGCCGCGGGGGCGCCCCGGGGACCCUCGUGCGCUCCGAGGAGAGCGCGGCCGGGGCUGAGAGCCAGACACCGGCCGGGCGCGUCGUGUCGCUCCCCGCGGCCCUCGCCUAGUUUCACUUUCUCUUUGUUCCCUCCCACGGGGAUCUCUUUGAAGUGAGAGGGGCGGGGGCGUGUCCGGGCCCGCGGCCGCGCCCCUCCCCCCUGCGCGGGGCGGCCCGGGGCGGGGGGGCUCCGGCCGCACCUGUCGGCCGCCCGCGGGGCCAGCUCGCCGGCGUCCCCGCCCCCAGCCCCGCGGCGAGGCCGGGUCCGGGCCCAGGGAGCGCGCGCGGUGGCCGGGCCUGGAGCCGCGCGGGGACGCCAGCCAACUGCUCACCACCCGCUCCGUGGGAGCGCCCUGGAGCCCCGCGCCGCCGGGCAGAGGCCACCCUGCUCUCAGGAGUCCAGAGGCUCUUGGCAGUGAUGCUGCCCCCUGACCGCGCAGCCGGUUGGCCGUGACUUAAUACGACAGCGCUCUCCGCCAUCCGCUCGGCCCAAGUGAGACCAGGGGGUGAGGGUGGGGGUGGGGGGCUCUUCUGGGGUGUCUCCUGUUCUGUAGCUCAGAGUCAUUUUGUACAGUGUGGG